This 387-nucleotide unclassified non-coding RNA is filed under the name soil metagenome. Its description in RNAcentral is "partial contains 5.8S ribosomal RNA, internal transcribed spacer 2, and large subunit ribosomal RNA". The stretch from base 1 to 120 matches the Rfam family "5.8S ribosomal RNA", at positions 35 to 154 of the family's 154-position model. The record is from RNAcentral.
GAUGAAUAACGUAGCGAAAUGCGAUAAGUAAUGUGAAUUGCAGAAUUCAGUGAAUCAUCGAAUCUUUGAACGCACCUUGCGCUCCUUGGUAUUCCGAGGAGCAUGCCUGUUUGAGUGUCAUGAAAUUCUCAACCUUUUCAGCUUUCUUUGUUGAUCAGGCUUGGAUGUGGGAGUAUGCGGGCUUCUCAGAAGUCGGCUCUCCUGAAAUGCAUUAGCGGGACCUUUGUUGCCUGGCUUUGGUGUGAUAAUUAUCUACGCCAUUGUAGUCAAGCAGCUUAAAAUGAGGUUUCAGCUUCUAACCGUCUCCCCUGAGACAACUUUUUGACAAUUUGACCUCAAAUCAGGUAGGACUACCCGCUGAACUUAAGCAUAUCAAUAAGCGGAGGA